UGGGGAAUUUUGGACAAUGGGCGCAAGCCUGAUCCAGCCAUGCCGCGUGUCUGAAGAAGGCCUUCGGGUUGUAAAGGACUUUUGUCAGGGAAGAAAAGGGCGGGGUUAAUACCCCUGUCUGAUGACGGUACCUGAAGAAUAAGCACCGGCUAACUACGUGCCAGCAGCCGCGGUAAUACGUAGGGUGCGAGCGUUAAUCGGAAUUACUGGGCGUAAAGCGGGCGCAGGAGGUUACUUAAGCAGGAUGUGAAAUCCCCGGGCUCAACCUGGGAACUGCGUUCUGAACUGGGUGACUAGAGUGUGUCAGAGGGAGGUAGAAUUCCACGUGUAGCAGUGAAAUGCGUAGAGAUGUGGAGGAAUACCGAUGGCGAAGGCAGCCUCCUGGGAUAACACUGACGUUCAUGCCCGAAAGCGUGGGUAGCAAACA
RNAcentral lists this ribosomal RNA (427 nucleotides) under uncultured bacterium. Its description in RNAcentral is "partial 16S ribosomal RNA". It matches the Rfam family "Bacterial small subunit ribosomal RNA", at positions 355 to 774 of the family's 1533-position model. The record is from RNAcentral.